AGUGAACGCUGGCGGUAGGCCUAACACAUGCAAGUCGAACGGCAGCACAGUAAGAGCUUGCUCUUACGGGUGGCGAGUGGCGGACGGGUGAGGAAUACAUCGGAAUCUACUUUUUCGUGGGGGAUAACGUAGGGAAACUUACGCUAAUACCGCAUACGACCUACGGGUGGAAGCAGUGGAUCUUCGGACCUUGCGCGAUUGAAUGAGCCGAUGUCGGAUUAGCUAGUUGGCGGGGUAAAGGCCCACCAAGGCGACGAUCCGUAGCUGGUCUGAGAGGAUGAUCAGCCACACUGGAACUGAGGCACGGUCCAGACUCCUACGGGAGGCAGCAGUGGGGAAUAUUGGACAAUGGGCGCAAGCCUGAUCCAGCCAUACCGCGUGGGUGAAGAAGGCCUUCGGGUUGUAAAGCCCUUUUGUUGGGAAAGAAAAGCAGCAGGUUAAUACCCCGCUGUUCUGACGGUACCCAAAGAAUAAGCACCGGCUAACUUCGUG
Molecule: ribosomal RNA, 492 nt
Filed under: uncultured bacterium
Lineage: Bacteria
Description: partial 16S ribosomal RNA
Rfam family: Bacterial small subunit ribosomal RNA
Source: RNAcentral